AAGACUCUCGGCAACGGAUAUCUCGGCUCUUGCAUCGAUGAAGAACGUAGCGAAAUGCGAUACUUGGAGUGAAUUGCAGAAUCCCGUGAACCAUCGAGUCUUUGAACGCAAGUUGCGCCCGAAGCCAUUAGGCUGAGGGCACGCCUGCCUGGGUGUUGCACAU
This 163-nucleotide ribosomal RNA is filed under the name Genista cf. stenopetala. RNAcentral describes it as "Teline cf. stenopetala AK-2011 5.8S ribosomal RNA". It matches the Rfam family "5.8S ribosomal RNA". Rfam says of the family: 5.8S ribosomal RNA (5.8S rRNA) is a component of the large subunit of the eukaryotic ribosome. The record is from RNAcentral. Lineage: Eukaryota; Viridiplantae; Streptophyta; Magnoliopsida; Fabales; Fabaceae.